UAGUGGUAGUUCAAGUGGUUAAGACAUUGGACUACUGCUCAGAAGGUCAUGAGUUCAAUCCCCAGCACCACCAA
Non-coding RNA from Pangasianodon gigas (Mekong giant catfish), 74 nucleotides. Lineage: Eukaryota; Metazoa; Chordata; Actinopteri; Siluriformes; Pangasiidae. The record is from the annotation of a GenBank genome assembly.